This 497-nucleotide ribosomal RNA is filed under the name uncultured bacterium. Its description in RNAcentral is "partial 16S ribosomal RNA". It matches the Rfam family "Bacterial small subunit ribosomal RNA", at positions 28 to 507 of the family's 1533-position model. The record is from RNAcentral.
GACGAACGCUGGCGGCGUGCCUAAUACAUGCAAGUUGAGCGCUGAAGGUUGGUACUUGUACCAACUGGAUGAGCAGCGAACGGGUGAGUAACGCGUGGGGAAUCUGCCUUUGAGCGGGGGACAACAUUUGGAAACGAAUGCUAAUACCGCAUAAAAACUUUAAACACAAGUUUUAAGUUUGGAAGAUGCAAUUGCAUCACUCAAAGAUGAUCCCGCGUUGUAUUAGCUAGUUGGUGAGGUAAAGGCUCACCAAGGCGAUGAUACAUAGCCGACCUGAGAGGGUGAUCGGCCACAUUGGGACUGAGACACGGCCCAAACUCCUACGGGAGGCAGCAGUAGGGAAUCUUCGGCAAUGGGCGAAAGUCUGACCGAGCAACGCCGCGUGAGUGAAGAAGGUUUUCGGAUCGUAAAACUCUGUUGGUAGAGAAGAACGUUGGUGAGAGUGGAAAGCUCAUCAAGUGACGGUAACUACCCAGAAAGGGACGGCUAACUACGUG